ACUACCGCGGGAGGCCGGCUGGCGAAUGGGGCUUCGCCACAUCUGCGAGAGAAGCCAGCUUCCGGAUGGCCAUCUUGGGCGUAGAACGCUUGCUGGAGGCUUUGCCGUAACUAUGAAAGACCUUUGUUCUUAGAGUUGAAGGAAGGAAAAUAUCCCCCGAGUGGAGCUCACGACGGCCGCGCGUGUGUUCCCGGGCAUGGUGGAGCCCGGGACAAGCCCUCGGAGCCUUCUCCUGCGCUCCAUAGCCCGGCAGCGUCGCGCCCUGUUGGAGGUUUAGCCCGCCUUCCUUUGUCGUCCGGGAGGCCGGAGCGGGAGGCGCGCCCCCCACCCCCGCCCCCGCCCUAACUGAAGAGUCCCGAGCCCACUUGUUAGCGAGCUGUACGCCAAGUCCGCCUACCCUGGAGACCCUGCCGACCCAGGUGCUCUGCGCCCUCCCGCGAGAAAGGCCAAGAAAAAGCCACUACCAAGAUCCAGGGCUCAGGAGACCCCAUGAGCACCGCUGGGCCCACCCUGGCCCGGCAGAGAAAAGGGACGUUGUGCUCCCCAGGGUGAUUUGGGGAAGAGGAAGUUGGUGACCCCACCCAGAUGGCAAAGGAGCACUGUCACUCCUCCGGCUGCGCCCCAGUCCUGGCCUCUGAGAACUGCAUUAAUCUACUCCUGGGAGUUUCCAGCCUCCCAGGGCCCAGAAUGUGGCACCCAUCCCCACACACUGUUCUUUCCCCGCCCACUGAAUUCUAGUGCCUCCUGAGUAUCCCUCUGAGAUGUUUUAAGCACCGUCAGCCCGGCAGAUACAGGAGGAAGAGAAUUUUUAGGGCUGCCAUGGAAGUGCUGUGGCUGUCAUGGUGUGACUUGAGCUGAGAGGCAGCGAUGGGUCUCCGUUGCAGCAGGCGGGAUCUUCACUGCUGCAUGUGGGAUCUGGUUCCCGGACCAGGGAUCGAACUUGGGGCCCCUUGCAUUGGGAGCGCAGAGUUCUACCCAGUGGACCACCAGGGAAGCUGCUGGACGCACUUGUCUUUACAGCCCUGUCCUUCCUUUUCACUGUGCAGCUGACCUUUC
This is a long non-coding RNA of Hippopotamus amphibius kiboko, 1056 nucleotides long. RefSeq lists it as uncharacterized. NCBI's taxonomy places the organism in Eukaryota, Metazoa, Chordata, Mammalia, Artiodactyla, Hippopotamidae. The record is from RefSeq and is a predicted model, not a curated record. The transcript is spliced from 3 exons.